This 253-nucleotide ribosomal RNA is filed under the name uncultured Gemmatimonas sp. RNAcentral's name for it is "partial 16S ribosomal RNA". It matches the Rfam family "Bacterial small subunit ribosomal RNA", at positions 524 to 776 of the family's 1533-position model. Lineage: Bacteria; Pseudomonadati; Gemmatimonadota; Gemmatimonadia; Gemmatimonadales; Gemmatimonadaceae. The record is from RNAcentral.
UACGGAGGGUGCGAGCGUUGUCCGGAAUCACUGGGCGUAAAGGGCGCGUAGGCGGCUCGAGCAGUCAACGGUGAAAGCUUGGGGCUCAACCCCGAGUCGGCCGUCGAUACUCUCGAGCUGGAGCACUGUAGAGGCAGGUGGAAUUCCGGGUGUAGCGGUGGAAUGCGUAGAGAUCCGGAAGAACACCGGUGGCGAAGGCGGCCUGCUGGGCAGUAGCUGACGCUGAGGCGCGACAGCGUGGGGAGCAAACAGG